UAUACCAUUUUUUAACAGAAUAUCCAUAAUUAAUUUUAUUAAAAAAAUAAAAAAUAUAAAUAUUCUUUUCAAUCGUUAAUUGAAAAGAUAAAAAAUAAUAUAUAAUUUAGCUACAACCUAAAAUUAUGGAAAGUAGUUAAGUACAAUCGAUAUCUUCUCCUUAGAUUAAUUCUCUCUCAGUUUAUUUUAAAAAAAAAUCUCGAAGGCCGUCGUGUACGAUCAACAAGGUCCUCCCGAUGUCGUUACAAGAAUUGUAGAAUUGCCGCCUGUAGAAGUGAAAGAGAACGAUGUUUGUGUUAGGAUGAUAGCUGCGCCUAUCAACCCAUCUGAUAUUAAUCGAAUUGAAGGGGUAUAUCCUGUGAGGCCGCAAGUUCCAGCUAUCGGAGGAUAUGAAGGUGUUGGAGAGGUGUACUCGGUUGGUUCUGCAGUGAAGGGUCUCUCACCUGGCGAUUUGGUCAUUCCAUCCCCCCCUUCCUUCGAUUAUAACAAAUGGCCAUGUACAGUUUUAUAUGUUAGUUCCUUUACUUAGUUCAAUGACCAGUGAUGAUUAUAGCUUGUGGUAUUGUUUCUUGGCAAGAGUAUUUUCUUUUUUCAUUUUCUGUUUGGGGAGAGAAGUAAAAAAAAUAUGAGUAGUUGUGGAAGAAGUGGUGCUAUAAGACAGUAUAUAAGAUCGAAGGUGCCUUGUCUGAGAUGGACUCCUGAGCUUCAUCACUCUUUUGUUCAUGCAAUUGAAAGACUUGGUGGCCAUAAAAAGGCUACACCUAAGCUUGUUCUUCAAUUAAUGGAUGUUAAAGAACUCACCAUUUCACAUGUCAAAAGCCAUCUCCAGGUUCAUUCAUUUCUUUUUUAAUUUUCCUAAAAAUAUUUAAUUAUUAUAAUUUAUUUUUCUUUUUGGCAUAUUUUACUCUUUUUGUCUUUGUUGGCUUUCUUUAAUCAUAUUUUUGUUUUUGGGGUUUUUCUUCUUUUGUUUAAAUUAGAUGUAUAGAAGCAUAAGAGGAGAUCUGGUUAAACAAUAAUUUUUUUAUAAAGACCUAGAGAGCUAUAUGAUACAUAUAUCUAUAUAUAUAGACUGGAUAUACCUAUUAUAUAAAUGUACUUUCCAUUAAAGUGCUUCUACAAAGCUUAAAAUUAGAUCGUAUGACCUUUCCCAUCUUUGCAUAUAUAAACUUGGCUUCAUUUAUUUAUUAUUGGUUCAUUUUUAAAAUAAUAUUUACACUGUGCCAAAAUUGGGUGAGAGAAAAAGAUCAAUAUCUCUAUUCAAAUCUUCUAAUAUUAGCAUUAUCAUGAUGAAAAUUAUAUCCUCAGUCACAUUAUUUUUAUUAUUUAUUAAUUUCUUAAAUGUUUUUUUUUCUUCUAUUUUUAUUACCAAAUUUUGUAUUAUUUUUAAUUGUUUUUUUUUUUUGUUUUGUUUUGGGGUAUAUAUUCUUGACGUAGUUCCAUAUGUUUGUGCACAAGAUUGCCACUUUUGAAAAGGCUGCAUGUUUUCAGGCAUUGAUUCAGUUCAGUGAUGCGGAGAUUGCAUCUUCCGGAAGGAAUGCCUUGGAUGGAAGGAGCAGAGGUAUCUCCUUUCAGAUCAUGUUGGUUCAUGCCACUUACGCAUUUCAUAAUCUUGCCCACACUGAUCUAAAUAUAAAAUUCCAGUCUCAUCGUAGCAGGUAAGACUGCAACAAGAAGAUCUCUUCUCUCUUCUUCAUCUUUUGUGUCUAAAAUAGUGAUUCUUUUAUCUCCUUUUGUAUUUGUUUGUUAGCGGUUUUGGGUUUUGAGAUGCUUCUAAUUGAUGUGUACUUUUUGUCAUCUAUGGUGUUUAGUGAAGCCUGCUAGCCAGAACACAGAUGUGUUGCAAUUUAGUAAUUUCCUUGAUCUUCUAAUUGUAGUUUAAAUUUAAAGCGUUCUCUAUCAACUUGGCAUUAUAUUCUAGAAACUUUAAUGUCAUUCUCUUUUUGACCAUAGUUUGUGCAGUCUUGUUGCUCAUAUAUCUCCUUUUUUGACUGAUGAUUUUAUAUUUUUAAGUUCACAAUAGACAAUAAGAUUGAGUUGUAAACUUAUGCACACAUUUAUACGUUCUUUUCUGCCCCUGCCUUAGUUUCUUCCGUUUUGGAUUGCUGCAUUUGUUGUUAGGUGACACUACCUAGAAUUUUCAAGAGAAUGUGUAGUCUAAUGCAAAAUUUGAAUACUACCUAGAGACUUUUCCAAUUCUUAUCCCUAAUCAGUUGUAUGUAGAUCCAAAACGAAUGAUGAGUUCAAAGUACAAUCAAU
This is an RNA transcript of Cannabis sativa, 2256 nucleotides long. It is a transcript of the gene named enoyl-[acyl-carrier-protein] reductase, mitochondrial-like, with no coding region annotated. NCBI's taxonomy places the organism in Eukaryota, Viridiplantae, Streptophyta, Magnoliopsida, Rosales, Cannabaceae. The transcript is spliced from 7 exons. The record is from RefSeq and is a predicted model, not a curated record.